Molecule: transfer RNA, 60 nt
Filed under: Duplicibothrium sp. MZUSP 8039
Lineage: Eukaryota; Metazoa; Platyhelminthes; Cestoda; Tetraphyllidea; Serendipidae
Description: tRNA-Ser
Source: RNAcentral
AGAGAAAUUUGUAAGGUUACUGCUAAUAAUCUUCCGUCUAUUUAAUUCAGACUUUCUCUU